AAGAUGAGCCCGCGUCCGAUUAGCUAGUUGGUGGGGUAAAGGCCUACCAAGGCGACGAUCGGUAGCUGGUCUGAGAGGAUGAUCAGCCUCAAUGGGACUGAAACACGGCCCAUACUCCUACGGGAGGCAGCAGUGGGGAAUUUUACCCUAUGGGGGAAACCCUGACGUAGCGACACCGCGUGAGCGAAGAAGCCCCUUGGGGUGUAAAGCUCUGUCAUCUGGAACGAAACAAAUGACGGUACCUGCAAAGGAAGCAUCGGCUAACUACUUGCCAGCCGCCGCGGUAAGACGUAGGAUGCGAGCGUUGCCCGGAUUUAUUGGGCGUAAAGAGUUCGUAGGUGGUUUGUUAAGUUUGAUGUUAAAGAUCGGGGCUCAACCUCGGGACAGCAUUGAAUACUGGCAGACUUGAGUAUGGUAGAGGCUAGUGGAAUUCCCAGUGUAGUGUUGAAAUGCUUAGAUAUUGGGAAGAACACCGGUGGCGUAGGCGACUAGCUGGGCCAUAACUGACGCUGAGGAACGAAAGCCAGGGGAGCGAAAGGGAUUAGAUACCCCUGUACUCCUGGCCGUAAACGAUGGAUACUAGGCGUAUCGGGUAUCGACCCCUGAUGUGCCGCAGCUAACGCGAUAAGUGUCCCGCCUGAGUAGUACGGCCGCAAGGUUGAAACUCAAAGGAAUUGACGGGGGCCCGCAUAUGCGGUGUAUCAUGUGGUUUAAUUCUAAGCAACGCGCACUACCUUACCAGGGCUUGACAUG
RNAcentral lists this ribosomal RNA (753 nucleotides) under uncultured bacterium. RNAcentral's name for it is "bacterial SSU rRNA". It matches the Rfam family "Bacterial small subunit ribosomal RNA", at positions 222 to 988 of the family's 1533-position model. The record is from RNAcentral.